CUGACUACUUGGAGAGGCCGGGGUCUAACAGAAGAGCGCCAUUACUUAGUUGUUUUUCAGCCACAUUACUCCUUCACCCGCCCCGUCGGUAACUGUGGGCGAAACACAGUACCAUCCACCACCCUUAUAUGUGCUGAAGACUUGGUGAUCAAACCGAGGCUAGGGAAAGUUAGCUCGUUUUUUUUCUUCGUAUCAACACAUUUCGUCGUGUCUGCUGUACACCAUUACUAAUGACGUUCAGUAUGUAAAAGUUGCCCGACAUUGCUCAACAUACAAUUCGAAACGGUGAAAGACAAGAUCAACUUAUCGAUAUAGGAUAUGGUAAUUGUACGUUGUGUACUCCAGUGUACAUGCAAGCACUAC
Asterias rubens (European starfish) is the source of this 363-nucleotide long non-coding RNA. RefSeq lists it as uncharacterized. NCBI's taxonomy places the organism in Eukaryota, Metazoa, Echinodermata, Asteroidea, Forcipulatida, Asteriidae. The transcript is spliced from 3 exons. The record is from RefSeq and is a predicted model, not a curated record.